UGGGCAGAGGUUUGACUGGCAAGCAGCUCUGGGUGUACAUUUCAUCCAAGAGUCUCAUGGUGGUCGAAGGAGAUCCCCAGAUGCAAAAUCAAAGUUGCUUGGAUUUCCAUUUCUUCCCCAUCUAGGAAAAGGGCAAUGGAAUCAAAGCCUUUAAAAAAUGUAGUAAGAGAAAGACUCUCUAAUUGAUCAGAACCUUCUGGCAACCAGCACUUUGGCCCAUCUACUGAAAAAUACUUUAUCAGUGUCUUUAGUAAAGGCCCCCAAGAUGCACAAUACAUUUUUGGUUGUUGAAAUAGAGUGUCUUCUAAGUCAUCAAGUAAAAGAGAAAUUCUGCUCAGAAGACUUUUGGAUAGUACCCAACAUUUGGUGAGGCUUACUAUAUUACAUGCAUUACCUCGCUAAAUCACCACAUUAGAACACUUACAGGUUAUGACAAAACAAGAAGGCCCUUACAAGAUGCCAGCACCUUGAUCUUGAACUUCUCAGACUCCAGAACUGUAAGCCAAUAAAUUUCUGUUCUUCAUAAA
This 527-nucleotide long non-coding RNA is filed under the name Homo sapiens (human). Its description in RNAcentral is "HSALNT0386114". Lineage: Eukaryota; Metazoa; Chordata; Mammalia; Primates; Hominidae. The record is from RNAcentral.